RNAcentral lists this ribosomal RNA (468 nucleotides) under uncultured bacterium. Its description in RNAcentral is "partial 16S ribosomal RNA". It matches the Rfam family "Bacterial small subunit ribosomal RNA", at positions 28 to 507 of the family's 1533-position model. The record is from RNAcentral.
GACGAACGCUGGCGGCGUGCUUAACACAUGCAAGUCGAACGGAAAGGCCCUGCUUUUGUGGGGUGCUCGAGUGGCGAACGGGUGAGUAACACGUGAGUAACCUGCCCUUGACUUUGGGAUAACUUCAGGAAACUGGGGCUAAUACCGGAUAGGAGCUCCUGCUGCACGGUGGGGGUUGGAAAGUUUCGGCGGUUGGGGAUGGACUCGCGGCUUAUCAGCUUGUUGGUGGGGUAGUGGCUUACCAAGGCUUUGACGGGUAGCCGGCCUGGGAGGGUGACCGGCCACAUUGGGACUGAGAUACGGCCCAGACUCCUACGGGAGGCAGCAGUGGGGAAUAUUGCACAAUGGGCGGAAGCCUGAUGCAGCAACGCCGCGUGCGGGAUGACGGCCUUCGGGUUGUAAACCGCUUUCGCCUGUGACGAAGCGUGAGUGACGGUAAUGGGUAAAGAAGCACCGGCUAACUACGUG